Molecule: long non-coding RNA, 352 nt
Organism: Thalassophryne amazonica
Lineage: Eukaryota; Metazoa; Chordata; Actinopteri; Batrachoidiformes; Batrachoididae
Exons: 4
Source: RefSeq, a predicted model, not a curated record
AUCUUUGCUGGAUGUAAGCAUUAUGUGCGCAGCUGUUUAUUAAAAGCGCCUUGCUGCGGUAAACUGUAUGUUUGUCGGCUGUGCCACAAUGUAGAGGAGAACCACCAGAUGGAUCGCUUCAAAGUCCAAGAGGUGCAGUGCUCCAAGUGUCACACAGUGCAGCAGACGCAGCAGACCUGUCAGCAUUGUCAUGUGCAGUUUGGGGAGUGUUACUGUGAUAUAUGCCACUUGUUUGACAAGAAUAAGAAACAGUACCACUGCCAGUCCUGUGGAAUCUGCAGGAUCAGGCCCAGGGAGAAAUACUUCCACUGUGAGAAGUGUAAUCUGUGUUUAGCUAAGGAUUUGCGAGGAA